AACUCGCUUUCACACCUUGUCGAACUCGCUCCGAGUUUAAAAACAAAGCCUUGGAUAACUUUCCAAUUUAAAGCAAUGAAUCUCGGUGAAUCCACGCUAUGCUUUGCCCUGACAAUCGCCAUUAUCAAAUUCUCUCAUUUUCUGUUUCGCUUUAUUCGCUCUCUCAAGAUGUCGUCCUCUUCUUCCUCUGCUUCACCAACCGGCGAUGCUGUAACUCUCCGUCGAAACCGUAUUCUCUCAAGCAAGCUCUACUUCGACGUCCCUCUCUCAAAGGUUCCGCUAAUUUACUCGUCAGCUUAUGAUAUCUCGUUUCUUGGCAUAGAGAAGCUGCAUCCAUUUGAUUCAUCCAAAUGGGGACGUGUGUGCCGAUUUCUCAUAGUGGAGGGUGUGCUGGACAAAAAUGGUAUUGUUGAACCUCUGGAAGCUUCAAAGGAUGAUCUCCUUGUGGUAGUUUCUAUAUGUAUUGAAUUCUUUUACCCUUUCUUUCUAACUUUUGGAUGUAUUGCAUGUAUUAUGUUUGGAGAACUGAUCAAUCAAUAGAUUAAGGUAUAAUUUUCUACUCAAAUUAUGUAACUUGCAUUAAUUACCCUUCAGCCUGCACUGUACUACCUUGGUGGUCAUUAUUAGUAAUUUCUAAAGAACACUGGAAAAUGAAUGGCACAGAUAAAGAACCAUCACUGAUUUGCUGUUGACUUGUUCUAGUGAGAUGAGUGUAAGAGCGUGCAACUCUUUUAUGAAUAGAACUAAUUGAUUAUCUUUACCAGGUUCAUUCAGAGUCAUACUUGAGUAGUCUAAAGAGCAGUCCAAAUGUUGCCAUGAUAAUUGAGGUUCCUCCCGUUGCACUAUUUCCUAAUUGUCUUGUGCAGCAGAAGGUUCUUUUCCCAUUUCGCAAACAGGUAGGAGGAACCAUCUUGGCAGCUAAACUUGCGAAAGAGCAAGGAUGGGCCAUCAAUGUUGGAGGAGGGUUCCAUCACUGUUCUAGUGAAAAAGGAGGCGGUUUUUGUGCUUAUGCAGACAUUUCUCUUUGCAUACAUUAUGCCUUUGUGCGGUUGAAUGUAUCAAGGGUGAUGAUAAUUGACCUUGAUGCGCAUCAAGGAAAUGGCCAUGAAAUGGAUUUUUCCAAUGACAGUAUGGUCACUUGUUUUUCCUUAUGGUGCUUGGGUUUGACUUUUUUUUUUUUAAACUGAUAGCUUUGGACAUUUUUAAUGGAAGGCCGAGUCUAUAUUCUGGAUAUGUAUAACCCUGGAAUAUAUCCAUUUGUAAGUUGCAUGGACUCAAACUUGUGUACUGGUUCUUUUUUUUCUUGUCUUUUCAUCACUUCUCUGAUUUUGUUUUAGUAUUAUAGUUGUUAUCUGGUAACAAAUUAUGCUUACUGCUGUAUGAUUAUUGCUUACUUCUGUAUGAUUGUUCUUUAACAGGAUUAUGAGGCAAGGAGAUAUAUUGAUCAGAAAGUUGAAGUAGUGGUAAGCCAUCAGUAUUUUCUUGUUAAAAAUGAAUUGUAGGUUUUUUACCUUGUCCCAAUAUAAUGUGUUCUUUGUUCCUGAUUUUGAAAAGAGUGGGACCACAACAAAUGAGUACUUGAGGAAAUUAGAUGAAGCACUUGAGGUACACAGUAUACGUGCUCUUCACUUCAGUGCGCUUAGUUGGAUUGUUUCAUCGCAAUUGAAAAAAUAAGCUUUUGAAUGUGCUUUGACAAGGAAAUCUUGUUGAUAAGGGAACUUAUGUACUAUAUAUUGUCAUAUUUUCUGAUACUUUAUAUGCCUUAUUUAGAAGAUUGCAGGGCUUCUGGGAUUACAUCUUUUUGUUGUUUUCAUCUGUCAUCCUUGUACUGCCUGGAACAUCUCUCUCUCUCUCUCCCUCUCUCUCUCUCUCUUAGUGCUGCAAUGUGAGCAAAACUAAAAAAGGAAUAUGAUACCAAUAAUUAUGCAAAUGCAAGAGUGAAAUGCAAAAGUUUACCUACUAUCAGCACGUGUGAUAAUCCAGUUUAUACAGUUUUUCUGACAUUAAAAAAUAUCAUUAAACUGCUACUAAGCUCCAAAGGGGUACUAUCUCAAAAUUAAGGGAGGCUUAUACAAAUGAAAAGGAACUUACUUAAUCAGAAGCAAUAUGCUCAUCCAGCAAAAUUCUGCACCAAAGACAAAUGAAAAAAAACUGGUCCCCUUCUAAGGAGAACGGAAAAAUUUUUUUUUUACAUACUUUGGACCGCACCCUAAAGCUGCCUACGUACCUCCUUACAAUAUAAAAUGGAGGAUCAGGUCCACGUAGUUCUCAAAUUAAUCUCUAUUUAAGAACUGAGUACAAAGUACAUAGAUACUAUGCUACUCGUAGAACUCUUCCAUGUGAUUCAGCCAACUUCCAAACAUUAAGCAAUCCUGUUCCAUCACCGGUGAAAAAAAGACCACCAGGACCUGUCUCGAUUGUUUUUACUUCUCCCUUCGAAAAAAUCCUGCCCCUCUCGUUGAAUGAUGGUAGAUCAUAUAGGUAAAUAGAGUUGUCGUUGCAAGAGCAAAAUAAAACCGGUUUGUCUUCUGCGUCAGGCAUCCCGCAAAAAGCAAUAGCACCAUGCUUCAUCUCAUGUGUAUAGAUCACCUCUAUGUUCCCCUCUUCAGUAGAGGCCCAGACUUUUAUUGUCCGGUCUAAUGAACAAGACAACAAAUACUCAUCCCAGCAUAUAAGGGACAUCACAGCAUCGGCAUGACCAUUGAGCGUGUGAAUACACUGUAAAGUAUCGACUUCCCACGCCCUUAUUGUACUGUCCAUGGAACCAGAGUAAAGCCUAUCCCUUCCAAUAGUUAAGCAUAUCACAGCACCAGUAUGGCCUUUCAAAGAUGUGGCAAGUUCAAAAGGAUUUGGGUUUUCUGUACUCCCUUUACAUGCCAAAAUGGAACCAUCCUACAAACCCAAAAAAGAAAAGGAUCGGAAUAAUUCAUUUUUUAAGAUCAAAUGUGCAGUAUAACAAUUAAACACGAACGUUCCAACAAAUGGUGCCCUACAUCAGUGCCUUACAAUUAAAUUUAAGAAGGGCAAAUAAUAACGUUGCAGCAAAAAAUAAUGCAUCAACUCUAAACUUCUACAUCAUGCAACAAUUAUUAGAAGAAAAAGAAAGAACCUUCUUGUUCCACAAUUACCUGUGCCCCCGCAAAAAGCGUAUCAGAAGAAACAGUCAUAGCAUAAACUUGCCCAACUGGUCCAUUAAGAUUAUAUUCAGCAGCUGUCUCGAUGUUCCACGCCUUAACAACAUUUGGCAAGCCUACGAAUAUCCAUGGGCCUUCACUGAUUAAAGACCCAAUUUCAUCACCAAGAUUUAUCACCCUUGUGGACUGACCAGUAUGACAAUCCCAAACAUGUACCAUUCCAUCACUGCUGCUUGAAUAAAGCUUAUCAGAUCCUGAAGGAAGUGCCACCCCACAGACAGCCUCAGUGUGUCCCUUGAGGUUUGCCAGCAGUGAAAACCAAUCCCCACGAAACCAUGAAUGCAAGAACUGGCACCCAUCACCUUUAAUACAACUGCCUGACAUCCAGUAAUCACAUGCCUUAUUUGAGCUCUUGUUAACAGUUUUAUCUUCAGAAGCAUCAGAGCACUUGCUGGACGCUCCUAUCUCCUCCAUAUUUCCCGAAUCUGUGCUGGUGCAGGAACUGGAGCUCUCCUCAAUACUUUUAUGCUCAGACACACCACCUCCAGUAGCUGAAGCCAAAGAAUUACUAGGAUUGAGGCGCUUCCUAGGCAGAUGCUUAAUAUCAUGACUGGAACUCUUCUGAACAGUUUUAGCUUCAGAUCCUGCCAUUGAAUUGCCUAGGCCGUAGCUAGACCUCCUCAUCGACUGUCCCUCCAGUAAAACAUUGGAUUCCUUAGAGGUUCUACGGUAAACAUUAGGAGGUUGUGAUUCUCUGUGCAUGAACCUACACGGGUUUCUAUUACACUUUCCCCGCAUCCAGAAGCGACAAACAACGUUGCUAUGCGCAGCUCCUCCUCCAAGUCGUCUAUGAACGGUCUCAGCUUCCAUGCUAAAAGGACAAAACACGAUAGCAGAAUGAACAAGUUGAACCAUACAAUCUUUGGCGAUUCAGUUUUCUCUGACACGAUCAAAACUAAAACCCUAAUCGGAGUCAGAGAAAGCAUAGCAAAAGAUCCCAAUAUAAAGCUGUUCAUCUCUUAUUUGCAAAUCCUUACAGUUCAGAAAUAAACUGAUUCCCCACAAUAAACCUUAAUAAAAAUGGUAAAGAAAGAUCCAGCCAGAUAAACCAUAUAAUAUCCACACACUGAUAAGGCAACCAAAUCCUCAUAUCUCUACACUGUCAAAAUCCACAAAUUGUAGUCUGUAACUAGUUAUAAUCUAGAAUCUUGAAAUCCAAUCGCCGAUCCUCCAGCAAAAGCAAACGAAAAUAAAAGAAAAUCUAAGAAUGAAACCCUAAAUAUCCACCAAAGACAAGCAAAUAAACUGGAUUUGAUCAUCAUCGCAACAGAUUCCUCGGCGAUCAUAGCUUCUUGGUGAUCCAUAAAAGGAUGAUGAUGAUAAAGAAACCCUAAAAUGAUUGGGAUGAACAGAUUGCAAACCUUAUUAUGUAUAAGAACACAGAAGAUCGAUCAAGCUUCCGAAGUAUUCCUGUUGAUCGAUCGGGAGAUCACAAAAGAGAGACCACGGCGCGACGGUGAACAGGUAAAACGAAAGAUGCGUAGGUAUUACGUUUGGAAAAA
This 4696-nucleotide unclassified non-coding RNA is filed under the name Hevea brasiliensis (rubber tree). Lineage: Eukaryota; Viridiplantae; Streptophyta; Magnoliopsida; Malpighiales; Euphorbiaceae. The record is from RNAcentral.